UUCUGUGUGUAUGCUUUUACAUUCAUCUACACUUUCAUCCCUUUCUGUUUUCCUAUUUCUUCGCCCACACAUAACUGCGCCGCGUCAUUUGCGAAGAAGAGACGCAAUUACGAACGCGCGCAUCCACCUACACUUUUUCAUUUACUGUGAUACAUUUGAUCUACCCACGCAAUGACCCCAGCACGUAGAUACCCUCGGGAUGUUUCCGCCCCCUUCUCUUCUUCACCCCUCUCCACUUCAUUCGCUUCUUCUCCCUCAUUCUUCCAUUCCUCUCACUAAUUGUUUUACUCGUCUGGAUGGUUACAAAAUACAAGGUAAAAUUUUUUUCAAACCACAUCUUCCAAUUCAUCUCUCGCAACAGGCCAAACGCCCACGUGAAAAUGUAAACACCCACAUAGCUCUUACGUCAACUUAUAGUAGAUCGCUAGGGAUAACUAGAUACUGAGAGGAGCUGAAGAGUUUAAUAAAUAUUUUACUUCUUCAUUGCAUGAUAAUGUUAAAUCUCAGUGGAAAUAUUUAUUGUCGCGGUUUCAUUAAAAUUGUCCGCAGAACUUUAUUAAUGUGUGCGUGCACUGACCAAAUCGUGAGAUAUAAAUAAAUCUUUUUCAUAAAAAUAAAUUAUAUGUAGCCUACAUAAUAUGCAACAAUUAAAUCUUAUGACCUUCGUCAAUUUUAAUCA
Long non-coding RNA from Polistes canadensis, 679 nucleotides. RefSeq lists it as uncharacterized. The record is from RefSeq and is a predicted model, not a curated record. The transcript is spliced from 2 exons. NCBI's taxonomy places the organism in Eukaryota, Metazoa, Arthropoda, Insecta, Hymenoptera, Vespidae.